RNAcentral lists this microRNA precursor (82 nucleotides) under Trichobilharzia regenti. Its description in RNAcentral is "mir-3492 microRNA precursor family". It matches the Rfam family "mir-3492 microRNA precursor family". The record is from Rfam by way of RNAcentral. Lineage: Eukaryota; Metazoa; Platyhelminthes; Trematoda; Strigeidida; Schistosomatidae.
AGCCCUCUGUAUUUGUGCUGAGAUUUCGUCAGAGAUCAACCUUUUGGCGUUGGCUGAUGGUACUUCACAAAUAAGUAAAGUG